AGUGAACGCUGGCGGUAGGCCUAACACAUGCCAGUCGAACGGCAGCACAGUAAGAGCUUGCUCUUACGGGUGGCGAGUGGCGGACGGGUGAGGAAUACAUCGGAAUCUACUUUUUCGUGGGGGAUAACGUAGGGAAACUUACGCUAAUACCGCAUACGACCUACGGGUGAAAGCAGGGGAUCUUCGGACCUUGCGCUAUUGAAUGAGCCGAUGUCGGAUUAGCUAGUUGGCGGGGUAAAGGCCCACCAAGGCGACGAUCCGUAGCUGGUCUGAGAGGAUGAUCAGCCACACUGGAACUGAGACACGGUCCAGACUCCUACGGGAGGCAGCAGUGGGGAAUAUUGGACAAUGGGCGCAAGCCUGAUCCAGCCAUACCGCGUGGGUGAAGAAGGCCUUCGGGUUGUAAAGCCCUUUUGUUGGGAAAGAAAAGCAGCAGGUUAAUACCCCGCUGUUCUGACGGUACCCAAAGAAUAAGCACCGGCUAACUUCGU
Molecule: ribosomal RNA, 491 nt
Filed under: uncultured bacterium
Lineage: Bacteria
Description: partial 16S ribosomal RNA
Rfam family: Bacterial small subunit ribosomal RNA
Source: RNAcentral